CGGGAUGUGGCCCAGUUUGGUUAGAGCGCUUGGUUCGGGACCAAGAGGUCGUGGGUUCGAAUCCCACCAUCCCGA
This 75-nucleotide transfer RNA is filed under the name Caldisericum exile AZM16c01. It matches the Rfam family "tRNA". Rfam says of the family: Transfer RNA (tRNA) molecules are approximately 80 nucleotides in length. Their secondary structure includes four short double-helical elements and three loops (D, anti-codon, and T loops). The record is from Rfam by way of RNAcentral. Lineage: Bacteria; Pseudomonadati; Caldisericota; Caldisericia; Caldisericales; Caldisericaceae.